Molecule: long non-coding RNA, 8268 nt
Organism: Gorilla gorilla gorilla (western lowland gorilla)
Lineage: Eukaryota; Metazoa; Chordata; Mammalia; Primates; Hominidae
Exons: 10
Source: RefSeq, a predicted model, not a curated record
UUCAAAGCUGCCUUUUCGUAUGUAGCUACUGUUCAUAAUACUGAAAGUGGUUUCCUGCAUGCGUUGCUUUAGAACUCAAUUAACAUUGAUUUGUCCACUGCUGCAGACUAUGUUAACACUAACAACUUAGAAUAAAUUUAGGUUUGCUCUUUAUGAAUAAGUUCAAUAACUUGCUGCUUUCAUUCCUACUUCCUUUCCAAUGCGUUCUAAUUAAAAGUUAUUAAUGUUUGUGUUUCCUGGCAAUUUUACUUUUAUAUUCCUAUUCAAAUUACCAUAUUACUGAUAUGUAUAUUUUUCCUAAUGUCGCAUUUUAUUGUUUGUUAUUUCUAUUUACAAGUUUAAUGACUCUACUUGGAUGUUCAACAUUUAACUUUCAGAAAAUUUUCAUAGUUCAUUAAUUUAACUUGCUCUAUUUUUCAGGUAUGAACUGUUCUAACAGCAAGCGCUAGAGCAGUGGUCCAGAAAAUGGUUAGUUUCGUUAAAGGUGUCAGAAGAGCAUAUAAAAAAUACUAUGUGCAUUUUUUUAUUUUUAAAAAGGUUUAUUAAUAUUUAACCUAUAGAUUGGCUAGGACAUGCUCUGUUGGUCUUUAUCAAACAGUCACAUGUCACAAACAGCAUUUGAAUUGCCUGAAGAAAGAGUGAGUGCUUUACAAUGUGAGUACAAGCUCAUUGUACUAUAUUGUGUUUCAUACUUGACCGUUUAAGUAGAUUUAUAAAUAUUCACUAAUUUUAACUAAGUUAAAGCAGAAAGGAUAAUUGGUUUAAAACACUUCUAAAAGAGUAAGCAAGAAAGGAUAAAAGAAAGACAAUCUGUGGAAUGGAGAUAAUACAAAUAAUGUAAACAUUAGAAAACAACGAGAAAAUUACAAAAUCAAUUUAUCUUCCUGACCACAAAAUUGGAGAACUUCAUAGCCUUGUUAUGUUUGUGUGUAUUUAUGUAUUUAUUUAUUAUUAUUAUUGUUAUUAUUUAUUUAUUUAUUUUUGAAAUGGAGUCUCGGUCUGUCACCCAGGCUGGAGUGCAAUGGUGUGAUUUCAACUCACUGUAACCUCUGCCUCCCGGCUUCAAGCGAUUCUCCUGCCUCAGCCUCCCGAGUAGCAGGCAACAGGCGCCCGCCACCACUCCCAGCUAAUUUUUGUAUUUUUAGUAGAGAAGGGGUUUCACCAUGUUGGCCAGGCUUGUCUCGAGCUCCUCAGCCUCCCAAAGUGCUGGGAUUACAGGCUUGAGCCACCACGCCUGGCCCGUUGUUAUGCAUUUGAAACAAUGAUGUUCUCAAGGUUAUCUGACCAAAAGUUUACCUAAAACUAGUUAGUAAGAAGAUUAGCUGAAAUUAUACCUACUACCAUUAGUGAUGAAAUUAACCCUAAAGGAAUUUUAUGUCUAAUAAUAUUAAUACAUGAUAAUAUGAAGUCUUCAUGAUACGUGAGAUAGUUUUUAAACAUGGAAAAAGCGAAGACAAAUUUCUUCGAUUUUUAUAGAAGGAAUUUAAAAAGUUAAUACUCAUUAUGUUACUUUACCAAAUGUUACUUCCACAAGUAACUCAUGUUUGUAAGUCAGAUUUCAGUGAUGGACAUAAAAACCAAAAAGAAUUAGGCAAAUACUUGUCCUUCCUGCAAUAGAGCACUGGAAUAUCACAUCAAAAGAAACAUAAUGCAUUUCUUUAGAAGAUAAAAAUAAAUUGCUAGAAGAUUUGAACAAACAAGUACUUUGUGGGGGUACUCAGUUGUAUGAAAGUACCUAUAUUUCAAAUGCGCCCCAUUUUAUGGUAUUCCACUUCAGCAAUGAAAUACAUAAAUAACUACUUUUGUGUGAUCUUCUAGAAAAAAAGUACAAGGGAGAAAAUAAGUUUUCCAUACUGCCUUUAAUAAAAUCAAUGCUUUCUUGAAACACUUAUUUAAAUAAAACUGCUCACAGAGCAGCUUCUUAGAUUAGAAUGAAAAGAGAAUUCCAGGAUGAAACAACGCCACACAUGAAAAUCCUUCUGUUCUUAUUCAGAGACAUGCUUUGCAGUGUAAUACGUUUUUCUAGGUUUUUGUGCUUUAGUUUGGAAUACCCUUAUUUUGCGAGAGAAUUCCAAAAAACUGCUGCAAGAGUUACUUUUGUACUAAUUUUAUACUAAUUGGCUAAACCUAAAGGUAAAACACUGUGAGACAUGAGUUUCAGAUGAUAUGGUUUUGACUUUCUGGCUGAAAUAACUGCUUAGACACUGGCUGCAGAUGCUCUCUGCCAAAGCAUGCUGUAUGUAUUUAGAAUACAAAGCAUUUGGAUAAUUACACUGUUGUGGUUAGAGUUAUUAAAGUAAGAUUCUUCUAAAAUAUGGUAAAGUCUUGUCAAUACAUAACCAAGUUUAAGAGACUCCUUCCUAGGCAUGAAAACCAAGUCUUCAGUCAUCAUGCAACUAUCAAAACCUCUUUCUGUUGAAGCUUUCAUAAAGUCCACACUAAACAAAUCUGGGUUAACAGAUACAUCAAUAAGUAAAAAACUAAUUAACGCAAAAAUAAAUUGCAGUUUUAAAUACAAUGUCUUCUCUCCAUUAAGAUUAUUUUAAUAAUGCAUGUUUAAUUCAAAGAGCAAUGUAACUGUGAAAAAUAAUUUAAGAUAAACUCUGUAGUAAGUCAAGAUACAUACUCAUGUAUCUGUCUACACUCAAAUGAAAUAUAAAGCCUUAUACUCCAUGUUUAUUGGCUUUUGUAAUCCUUUUUAGGUGGAAUGUUUUUCUUUUCCUUUUAGCUUUCUUUAACAUUAUUUAACUCUUAAUGUGUACUAGGUUAUGCAUUGGCUUCGCUCAUCUCAUUUCAAUUAGAGAUGAAUACCAAUCUAUGAGACAAAGUCAAAGCUUUGAAAUUUUAAGAAUUAAUUUGCAAACAACAUAUUUUGAAAUAGCAGAAUUUGUGAAUCACAAAAUAACUACAUAAUUAAAUCAAUUGCAGGAAGUCUGUAAUAAUUAGUCAUUCCUCAAGAAAAUCAAAUAGUCAUAAAAGGCAAAGAUAGCCUCUCCUUAGAUGCCUGUGGCAGUCAUUUUCAACGAGACUUGGGACUCAAAUUAGGAGGCCCACAUUUAGAACAAUGAGAAGAGUUUUGCCACCUGCUGUAGAGUUUUGUGGAAGAGUGUUUCUCCAAAGGACCAAUUUUCUUAAAGAAUGAUUGAAUACAUUUCUUUUUUUGGAAAAGCAAACAUUUAAUUAUACAGGAAGUUUUCUCCCAAAGAGUCAGAAAAAAUUUUUUGUCAACUUAAGCUUUAAUUAAACUUAAGAAUAAUUUAUCACUUUUAAAAACACAAUAUGUUCCUAUCAAAAUCUCAAAGACUUUUUUUUUUACAGAAAUAGAUAAAAACAAUGCUACAAUUCAUAUGGAACUACAAAGGCCACAAAUAGCUAAAUCAAUCCUGAGAAAGAAGAACAAAGUUGGGGGCAUCGCACUUUCUGAUUUCUAAAUAUAUUCUGAAGUUACAGUAAUAAAAACAGUAUGGUACCGGUUAGAGACAGACAUAUAAGACCAAUAAAACAUGCAAAUCACAACCACAAUAAGAUACCAUCUUACACCAGUCAGAAUUGCUAUUCUUAAAAAGUAUUUUAAAAAUGACAGAUGUUGAUGAGGCUGCAGAGAAAAGGGAAUGCUUAUACACUGCUGGUGGGAAUGUAAUUCAAUUAAUGUAAUUAAUUGAACCUCUAGGGAAAGCAUUUGGAUAGUUCUCAAAAAACUUAAAAGUACCAUUCAACCCAGUAAUCCCAUUGCUGGCUAUAUACCCAGAGAAAUAUAAAUCAUUCUACCAAAAAGACAUAUGUAUCUGUUAUGUCCAUAGCAGCACUAUUCACAAUAGCAAAGACAUGGAAUUGACCUAGGUUCCCAUCAGUGGUGUUUUGGAUAAAGCAAAUAUGAUUCAUGUAUAUCAUGAAAUACUAUGCAGCCAUAAAAGGAAGGAAAUCAUGUCCUUUGCAGCAACACGCAUCAAAAUCAUCAUCCUAAGCAAAUUAAUACAGGAACAGAAGACCAAAUACCACAUGUUCUCACUUAUAAGUGGGAGCUAAACCUUUGGUACUCAUAGACAUAAAGAUGGGAAAAAUAGACACUGUGGACUACUAGAGGGAGGAGAGACAUGAGGGCAAAUAUUGAAAAACUACCUAUUUGGUGAUGAUAAUUCAUAACCCAAACUGCAGCAUCAUUCAGUACACUCAUGUGACAAACCUGCUUAUGUACCCCCUGAAUCUAAAAUGAAACUUGAAAUUAUUUUUAAAAGAAGAAUAAAAAUAAUAAAGAGUUCAGAAAUAAACCUGUGCAUUUAUAGUGAAUUGAUCAAUGGACUUUAAUCUUUUACUGAGUAUAUGCAGCAUUAUUCCUCAUACAUUUUACUUAGUAACUUCUAAAUUAAAAUUUGCUUUCAUAUAUGUUGUGCUUACCAGGGAGACACAGCACUAUCCAUAAGAAUCCAAUGUCUGAUUCCCAUUGCAUUCAGAGUUCUCAGUGCCAUCUUCACUGUAAUGUAUAUUCAGAUAUAUUCUGAAUAAAAGGAAGGGGCAUGUUGGCAAGAAGAUUCUGACUGCAUAUCAGGAUUAGACCCAGGCUCUUUGAACUUUUUGUUUCUGUAUCUUUCAAUUGUGUGGCUUUGGGAAAAUUUACUUGAUCUCUGUGCUUGAAUUUUAUCAUCUGAAAAGUGUUAAUAAGAAUACUAAUGAAAUUUCAGAGAUAAUAAACCUAAAAGGCAUUGGAGUAUGUACUUGUUAAAUAUUAGUUGUUGCUGCUAUCUGGAUCUUAAGAUAUGUGAGUCACAAAAGAGUAAGGAGUGUCCACCUGAGGAGGAUGAAGAAGUGGUAACCUCAGGAAUAAGCUGAAUUCAGUUAUGCCAAAUGGGGAAAAUGAAUAUUGAAGAAUAAAUGAGUUAAUUAUCAUAGAAUUGGGGUUUCUGAUAGCACAAUAAAUGAGUGCUGCUUCAAUAAAGAAGUGAGCAAUAAAAGAAAGCAUGAAUCUAAAAUUUUUACAUAACAGGAUGGUUGUGUUGAAAAGACUAGAUAAUUAGAUUGGCCUGUAAUUUAGAUUAUGGACAAAAUUAUGAAGACAGGAAAGUCAGUUAGCUUAUAUGUCCACUAGAAUGAGUUUAGACCUCUCAAGUGUCAGUUAUGUUCAGAUGAAUUGUACCUUCUCUCAAGUGCUACAUUCUCUUGGAUGGGAGAUAACUUUGUCCCCUGGUGAAAGCUCGCAUUGGUUGCUCAGGCACUGGGAAGCUGUUUUUGUUUGGAGUGUGCUUAUAUGCAUCCUAUAGGGGGACAGCUGAAAACCUGGUCUCCAUCUGCUAAUCUGGUGGGCAGACGCCAUAGUGGAGAGAAACCUGGUAUGCAGAAGAUGAAGACAUAGCACAACGUAAGUCAUGUCCUAUAGAUCUAUAUCACCUGUAAGGCAUAAUAUCCCAGCAUGUGCCUCUGAACUCACAUUCUGAAGGUGCGGCAAACAUGGAUGGGAUCCCUAGAGGAGUGGGCACCCGAAAUAUAUGCUUCUUGACCAUGCAGGCAAGAGUGGAAAAUUGUUAGUAUUUAGAUUUAUGUAUAUGGUAAUAUGAUUUAAACAUGCUUUGUUCACAUAUUUCUAUCUAAUGAAGUUAUCUUCCUGUCCUAGUGAGGUGGGUAACAAUGUGUCUCACUGUCACUGUUUUGGAGAUUUUGCUGAACUUGGUGAACUUGCUCUACUCUGGCCUGGACAGAAAAGAAAAGAAAAACUUAAACUUCUUGGUUUCCUUGUUCUGCCUUCCUAUUGUGAUGGGAAAAGACAACAUAGAGUAGAAAUUAACAAAAGAAUCUCUGGAGUGAGGCAUUCUGAAAUUUUACUGAAGCUCUAAAACUUAACAGCUAUGGAAAUGGUAUAUGAUACAUCAGCAAAAUGCUGCUGUGCAGGAACAGCAUCCCUUGAGUGAUUGUGGUCUUCCUUGUAACUUCACUACUUAUUCUACUACUGAACCAAGCAUAAUUAAAGAUGAAAACAAGUGAACAGUAUUGUGAUAAAGGAAAGAGCCGAGGUCAGAAUGAGAAACACAUCCCCACGGGAGUUCUGACCAUCAGUAACAUGAGUUAGCUGGUGUGCACUCUGCUCUGUAACCCUGGAAUCUCCUUUCUACUCGGAGGGAACGAGAUGUACAGCAUGAAGAAGUAUGCCCUUUGGAAAUGUAAAUGAAUACAGUUAAGAGGCUACACUGCCCUUUGAAAGAGUUCUUCUGAUCUCUUAGGAGCUUUACAUUUAGAAGAACAUGGAUGGAUGAGAAACUUGAUGUGGACUCUGUGCCUUUCACCAAAGGAGGAAAUUACUGUUUGCCUUUGAAUCAAAGGAUGAAAAGAACUUUUGAGUACAGUAUACAACUGAGGACCUAUGUGAUGUUAGCAACAAAAAAUUAACAGAAGAGAACAACAAAUCUCAAGGAAAAAGAGAAAUUUAGUAUGAAAUAACCUUGAACAUUUAGAAAUUUUCCAUUCAUUAUUCCACCCCCCCCACCCCCCCCAAAAAACAAGGAGCUUCUGAAUUUUACUUCAACGAGAGAGGGACUUUCCUAUAUAGAAUUGCCUUCUCCAUCUGGGAAGAGUUCUUUUUUCAUCCCCUGGCUUCUAUCAGAACAGCAUUGAUGUUCUCAGUGAAAUAAGAAGAGAGAAGGACUCCUUCUGUCACCCAGGCUGAGGUGCAAUGGCCUGAUCACAGUUCACUGCAGCCUUGAAUUCUUAGACUCAAGCUACUCAUCCACCUAAGCCUCCCAAGUAGCUGGGACUACAGGCUCACACCACCUCACCUGGGGUCUGGCUCUGUUGCCCAGUCUGGAGUGUGAUGGCAAAAUCAUGGUUCACUGCAACCACUACCUCUCAGGCUCAAGGGGUCCUCCCACCUCAGCCUUCCUAGUAGCUGGGACCACAGGCGUAUGCCACCACACCCAGGAGUGGUGAUGGUAUUCUUUUAUCCACUUUGAGAGAAACUUUGAGAAUGUGAACAGCCACAAAUUUAGAAGUUUCUUUUUUGCUUUGCUAUAUACAUGGACAAUAAUCCUGUACCUUGCCUGUGAUCUUCCAGAUUGCCCUUUCCAGAAUAUCACAUAAUUGGAAUCAUACAUUUUGUGGCUUUUCCGGACUGGUUUAUUUCACUUAACAAUGUGGACUUAAGAUUCAUCUCUGUUUGGCCAUGGCUUGAUAGCUCAUUUUUUAAAGUUGCUGAAUAUGGAGGUCCUGAAGAAAUGUUUCAGGAGCUUGAUCUGACUUGUUUGAAAUUUCCAUUGAAUGCUCUGCUCCUGUCUGCAGCUGAUUUCAGUGCAAUGGUUUUGCCAGCGAUCAAGUAGAAAAUUUCCUCACCUUUAAUUUUUCAGUCACAAUUUUGUAAGCUUAACAGAUGGAGAUGCCUAUGGUUUUGGCUAUUGUUUGUGCUGUAAAUUGUUAGUUUUCUUCAAAUAGAACAUGAACAAGAUUAAUUUUUUCCUUGCAAAUUGAUGUGAAUAGUCUACGUCUGCAAUCUUAUACUUCAAUGUUGCUCCAUCACUUCUUAGAAUAAGUUAUUGAUCUGUAAACUUCUGAUUUAUUUGGGGCAUUGUCUCAAUAAACUUUUCAUAAACCACCAAUGAUUUUAUCACUCUUCCAUCCAGGCUUCACCACAAAGUUGAUGUUUGUUAUUGCUUCAAUAUUAGCAAAAUUUAUGUUGCUCUGACAGGGGCUCUUUUCAAACUGAUGUUUUAUCCUUUGUAUUUCCUCAAAUUAGGUCCUGCUCAGCAAUGUUAUUACAAGUUAGUACAAGUUUAUUUUGGUCCAAAAAAGUUGAUAUCCAUGCAGAGUUUUUUUUUAAUAAUACACACUUUCCAUGAAUUGUUUGAAGACCCCUUGUGUAUUACUAAGUAAAAGAAGUCACAUACUAUUUGAUUCUAACCAUAUGGCAUUCUGGGAAAGGCAAAAACCAUAGAUAUGGUAAAAGGAUCAGUAGUUGCUAGGGGAUAAGGGGAGGGAAAGAUGAAUCAUCAAAGCAUACAAGAUUUUUAUGGCAGUGAAACUAUACUGUAUGAUAUUAUAAUACAUAUCAUUAUAUAUUUGUCAAAACUCAAAGAAUGUACAACACCAAUGUACAACACCUAAUGUAAUACCAUGAACUUUGGGUGAUAUUGUUAAUGUAGGGUCAUUAAUUGCAACAAGUAUACCACUCUGGAGGGGAAUGCUGAUAAUGAAUGAUUGAUUCUAUAUUUUUAUUAUAUAUAGAAAUAUUCAAGUUAUCUAUUACUCCCAUGUGAAUUUAGUAGAGUGUUUCUUUUAAGAAAUUGGUCCAUU